GGAAGGAUCAUUANNNNGUGAGGGCCCUCUGGGUCCAACCUCCCACCCGUGUUUAUUUACCUUGUUGCUUCGGCGGGCCCGCCUUAACUGGCCGCCGGGGGGCUCACGCCCGGCCCGCGCCCGCCGAAGACACCUUCGAACUCUGUCUGAAGUUUGUCGUCUGAGUGAAAAUAUAAAUUAUUUAAAACUUUCAACAACGGAUCUCUUGGUUCCGGCAUCGAUGAAGAACGCAGCGAAAUGCGAUACGUAAUGUGAAUUGCAAAUUCAGUGAAUCAUCGAGUCUUUGAACGCACAUUGCGCCCCCUGGUAUUCCGGGGGGCAUGCCUGUCCGAGCGUCAUUGCUGCCCUCAAGCACGGCUUGUGUGUUGGGCCCCGUCCCCGAUUCCGCGGGGACGGGCCCGAAAGGCAGCGGCGGCACCGNNUCCGGUCCUCGAGCGUAUGGGGCUUUGUCACCCGCUCUGUAGGCCCGGCCGCGCCUGCCAUCAACCCAAAUUUUUAUCCAGGUUGACCUCGGAUCAGGUAGGGAUACCCGCUGAACUUAAGCAUAUCAAUAAGCGG
Molecule: ribosomal RNA, 558 nt
Filed under: Penicillium clavigerum
Lineage: Eukaryota; Fungi; Ascomycota; Eurotiomycetes; Eurotiales; Aspergillaceae
Rfam family: 5.8S ribosomal RNA (bases 186-338)
Source: RNAcentral